This 169-nucleotide non-coding RNA is filed under the name bovine gut metagenome. The record is from RNAcentral.
GGUGCCCGGGGGCUACGCCCGGGUGAAAAGGGAAGUCCGGUGAAAAACCGGCGCAACAGCCAUUACUGUGAUCGGUUCCGCGGCGCAAAUGCCAUUGAGCGUAUGCUUGAGAAGGCGCGCCCGCAGGGGAAAAGCCCCAGCCGUCAGCCAGGAGACCUGCCUUGUCCGU